UAGUAAUGCUGCUUUUAGGUUGUAUUACUUAUUUCUUUCAAAAUAAUACAUUUCUUAGUACCUACAGUGAAUUGACUAAAAGAACCGUUAGACCUGGUGAAUUGCGGGAGAGUCACCUUUUAGGUGUUCUGGUACUGGUGAAAACGAACCUAUUUUAAAAAUUUAAAAUUCCCAUAAAAAAUUUUUGCAAACUGCGUUGAACUCACACUCACACGCAUAAAAAUUGAAGUCGUUGGCAACACUGGGUCAGGCACGCAUGUGCGCGAUGAAACCACAGAACGUGUUCUCAAUGCUUGCAUCACGAUUCUCGAAUGAGACAGCCCUCCUCCUGUCCUUGUUGGCUUGUGAAAAAAUAUUGACGGCUGGGAUACGAUGCAGUGUGAGUUCAACGUUUUUAAAUUCAAGCAUCCAGAAAAAUGUCUGAAGCGGCUUUGGCGCUCGCAACAGCGAAUUUCCCGGGGACGUGAAGGUGAAAAAUUGUAUGAUAUAAAUUAAUACAUCCCAAAAAUUCACACAUCCAAAUGAACGUUGUAUUGAAUGAAAUUGAAGUCCAUGUUGAUGUAACAUGUUCGUUGAGGGUGUGGGAAUGAACGUCAGUUUCACGUCCCCAACCUAGCCGCUAAAGCGACAUUAGUGAAUGCAAUCGGGACAAUAAGGAUGUCUGAAUAAGGAGUGGUUCAGAGGGGUCAAGGACGUGGUCAUUAUUAUUAGAAGGCUUAUAAUUAAUUCAGAUGUUUUAAAUAUA
Molecule: long non-coding RNA, 745 nt
Organism: Zophobas morio
Lineage: Eukaryota; Metazoa; Arthropoda; Insecta; Coleoptera; Tenebrionidae
Exons: 3
Source: RefSeq, a predicted model, not a curated record